RNAcentral lists this ribosomal RNA (310 nucleotides) under uncultured eukaryote. RNAcentral's name for it is "partial 18S ribosomal RNA". It matches the Rfam family "Eukaryotic small subunit ribosomal RNA", at positions 1470 to 1796 of the family's 1831-position model. The record is from RNAcentral.
CCCUUAGAUGUUCUGGGCGGCCCGCGCACUACAAUGGCGCUUUCAGCGAGUUCCUAUGUUGAAUUUUCCUGGGUAUUCUUGGAAGCGGCGUCUUGACUUGGGAUAGAUCCUUGUAAUUGUUGGUUUUGAACGAGGAAUUCCUUGUAAUCGCGGUUGAUCAGCUCGCGUUGAAUACGUCCCUGCCCUUUGUACACACCGCCCGUCGCUCCUACCGACGAAUCGUCCGGUGAAGUUCACAGAGUGGCGGUUCGUGGAGUUGCUCGCGAAGUGAAAUGGACCUCACGAUUUAGAGGAAGGAGAAGUCGUAACA